This is a non-coding RNA of Vicugna pacos (alpaca), 3367 nucleotides long. The record is from RefSeq and is a predicted model, not a curated record. Lineage: Eukaryota; Metazoa; Chordata; Mammalia; Artiodactyla; Camelidae.
CUGCCCACCCAGAGGAGCGGCGGGCCCUAAGGGUCCGCCGGGGACCUGCCAGCUCCGCGCUCGCGGCUCCUGGACAGCCCCGGGACUCUGCCAGGUGGAUGUUGUGCAUAGCCGGAGCCAAGUUGAAGCCUACGUUAGAGCGAUGAAGCAGACUCACAGUCGUUAAGAAAUUUCUUCAGAUUUCUCGCUUAACUACGAAGAAGACUAUGCGAAAUAUGUAUUUCCGAUAAGAUUAAAACUUAAAGGAGUUUGAGUGUUUAUUGACUAAAAUAGAUUACUCCAAAGUGUCUAUUGUGUAAAUUAGAUUCCUGAAUGUAAUGAACACAGCCGAAUGGCAUUUUUGAUAAAUUGGUCUACCCUGUUUUAGUAAAAAUAGCUCCCUUUUACCAUAAUUUGAUUCCUGUGCUUACUGUAAAACCCGUUGUGGAGUCUUAAGAGACAAUCCUUAAUUUUUUUUUCUUGUCUACCUAAAUGUGACAUUCCAGCUUAACACCAAUGCUAUUUCUUUUUUAAGCACCCUGGCAAAACUGCCUGGAAGAUGGAUUUGGUUUCUAGGGAGUUGUUAGAUUUUAUGAACUCUCUGACACCCCGACUCCCUUAGUGACUAACUGCUUCUUCAUGGUACAUGAGGACGUUUAACUGUGUAACUUUAGGUUUCAGUUUAAAGUUUCCCUGUGAGUUCAUGUGAAUGUCCUUUCAGGUGUUGAUCUUGAAUUUAAAAACCUUUAUCUGAGCAUCGUUCUCUUUACUGAGCAUCCAUUGGCUUUUCCUGGUAGAUGACAAUUUGGCCUUAGAUGAUUUCCCAUUGCCGCUUCAUCGCAUGUUUGAAAACCUUCAGUUGACUAUGGAAUGCCAGAGUUCCAGUAUAAGGCUAAACUGGUUCUUUCUCUGGGCCCUGAAGAGGCCUUUUGAGUUGUUAUCUAGUUUAGAGUCAUCUCUAUUCCCCUAGACAGUAAGCGAGCCAGAGGGACUGCAGUCUGAGAAGAGACAAUUCAUUAGUCCCUGACUCUUCUCAUCUUUCCAGAACCCCUUACACUGAGAUGGGGUUGUGGCCUUGCUACCUGAGGGUAAAGAGGCUGGGUCCCCGAGGGUCCAGGUGAGAUAAGGCCCCUCCCACAACUCAGGGAGUGGGGGCUGAGCUCUUGUCCCUCAUAGGACUUGAAGUGAGUGCCCAGGAAGGGAGUUUCUGAAGAUUGAGCUCUAUUUUGUUUCCUUUUUAGUCCCAAAGUCUUGUGGUAUAGAAGUUUCAGCACUCUGGCGUUGCUAAGACUAGUUGGACAAGUUUUUAUCCUAUCCCAGACUUGUAAAAAACAGGCUUUUUUUUUUAAAUAAGAAAAACACCAUUGUAUAAAUUUGCCUUUUAAAUACACAUUUGGAAAGAGAAUACUUUCUCAAACAAGCUCAUAUAACUCUGUAUGUUGGGGUAGCUUUUUGCCAGUGACUGGCUUCCCUUUGGGGGCAUUAUUCCUAUGUGGUGGCUAGUGUUCCCCUUUAAGGAACCUCUGCAGAAGUAACCUCUAAACGUUUUCCUCUUUUUCAAACUAAGAGAACAAUUUCAUUUUUGCUGCAAGUCUAUUUUCUGGUGGCUUUUAUUUUGUUUUCUCCUGUUAUGGAAGUAUGUCUGUGAACAGUCCAGGACUGUUCUCUGUACGAAGUACAUUACUUUGAUUAAAAUGUGUAUCUCAUCUAGGACCCUUUAUAAAAUAAUGAGUAAACAAAUGGAAGGGUUCCAUACAACUGCUGUCUUUGUUUUCUUGAUUCUCUUAAUAUCAGCAUCUUUGAGAUUGGGUGUGUGGAGGGGGUCAUUGUCAAUUGAUUAAAGUUUUUUUUCUCUGUAUGAAACUGUGUGUAGGGUUGGUUUUUUUUUUCUGGUUUGCUUUUUUUUUUUUUUAAAAGGUGUCCAUCAGUGAAGAAGUUGAGUUACGCAGCACCUCCUGAUACAGUCGGGUCUAUAGAGGCCCCUUUCACCUCCUUCACCAAUUUCACCCAUCUUCUGCCAGUAGUUCGUUAAGUGAGAAAGUUGGAAAGGGAAAGGGACAGACUGCCAGCCCCCUUAGGAAUUACUCUCUCCUAAUCCACGGAGCUAACCUUAAAUAUGCUGUCUGGUGAGCUAAUUGAGCCCAAAACCUUUAUGGCUGUUGAAAAAGUCCUGCCCUGUUGUAUGCAAUUCAGAUGAACCCACCAGAACCCACCAGGAUUUAUGCGGUUGGGCGAAGUCUGGCUGUGCAUUAGCAACAGGCCAUGCCUCAGGGUCCACCCGUCCCCCACCUUUCCGGGUCUACUUGUAGCAGUCAGCAAUCUAAACUGCUCCUGAGCCUGUGCUCACAUUCUCUGUCUUAGGAGAGGAAGCAAUGUUCAAAGUAGAAAAUUCCAUGUGUAUUUCAGCUCAUUUAUAAAAAGCACAAGGAAUAUCUGCAGUGAAACCAAGGAAGGACAAAUUUGUUAGAAGAAAAGUUGUACAUUUUGAGAAAGAGGAAUUUAUCGUAUAAAAUCCUACAGAGCUAGGCCAAAUUCCUGCCUGUGCUUCCGUUUUACAGUUCAUACAUUUGGCCUCAUGUAAAUUUCACAUAUUUAAAAGACAGGUGUAUCUGAUGGACUGUAACACAAAAGCUAACUAAAAGUAACUAUCGAUGGUUAUUCUGAUAUAUAGGAUCAUAUUUUAUUUUAGAAAUUAUUUAAAAACCAAUUUAAAACUACUUAACGUAUUCUAUAUAUAUUAUAUAAUAUAAUAUAUAUAUAUAAAGUAGCGUUCCCUAUGAAAGGUCUGAUUUUUACAAGUAAUUGUCAAAAUUAGAAAUUCAUGUAUUUCACCAUAUUGUUUUGUCUGAAGUUCUGCAUUAUGGCUGUGGAGAGAUAGUUUUGGUUUCAGCUGAAAUUCCCCUGCCUCUGAUUGUUUAAACCAGACCCUUAAUCUUAUUUUAACAUACUUAAAAUGUUCACAAAACCCGGAAGAAUUGUUUUGUAUAAGUAGCAAGUGAAUGUAGUUUAAACACUCAAGCAAUUCUGGUAUCUAAUUGGAAACAGGUGGAAUUCUUGGAAUCCUGCGUUUGAAUCUUAUUAUAGGAAAGCAUAGAGACACUUUUUACCAUUCAUUUGUCCAUGCUGUUUGAAGAGGGGCCCCAUGACCUCUCCUUGUGCCCCGCUACUGUUUACCUGGAUGUUCCAGCCGAGCUAGGCAUUUUAGGAGUUAGAUGCCUGUAUGCUUGGACACCUGAGAGAACUGUGCGUGUGUGGAUCACAGAGUGAAAAAGGAACUUUAGUGGCAUAAUUAGACCAGCGAUUUAAUAUCUGUAUUGUAUAAUUAAUACAGCAAAGAAAUUGUGAAUUCAUUUGUGAUUCCUGAUUUAAUAAACAUUUGUUGACAUGA